UACGGGGGGGGUAAGCGUUGUUCGGAAUUACUGGGCGUAAAGGGCUCGUAGGCGGCCAACUAAGUCGGAUGUGAAAUCCCCAGGCUUAACCUGGGAACUGCAUCCGAUACUGGAUGGCUUGAAUCCGGGAGAGGGAUGCGGAAUUCCAGGUGUAGCGGUGAAAUGCGUAGAUAUCUGGAGGAACACCGGUGGCGAAGGCGGCAUCCUGGACCGGCAUUGACGCUGAUGAGCGAAAGCCAGGGGAGCAAACGGG
RNAcentral lists this ribosomal RNA (253 nucleotides) under uncultured bacterium. RNAcentral describes it as "partial 16S ribosomal RNA". It matches the Rfam family "Bacterial small subunit ribosomal RNA", at positions 524 to 776 of the family's 1533-position model. The record is from RNAcentral.